RNAcentral lists this ribosomal RNA (253 nucleotides) under uncultured bacterium. RNAcentral's name for it is "partial 16S ribosomal RNA". It matches the Rfam family "Bacterial small subunit ribosomal RNA", at positions 524 to 776 of the family's 1533-position model. The record is from RNAcentral.
GACGUAGGGUGCAAGCGUUGUCCGGAUUUACUGGGCGUAAAGAGCGCGUAGGCGGCUCGUUACGUGAGAAGUGAAAGCUGUGGGCUCAACCCACAAACCGCUUUUCAUACUGGCGAGCUGGAGUGAUGCAGAGGUGGAUAGAAUUCCUGGUGUAGCGGUGAAAUGCGUUGAUAUCAGGAGGAAUACCCAUGGCGAAGGCAGUCCACUGGGCAGCAACUGACGCUGAGGCGCGAAAGCGUGGGGAGCAAACAGG